ACCUUUGCACAGUGGAAGCAUCGUAGCUGAUGAGGUUUAUCUGAGGUGCAAGUAUUGCGAAUAAAACUUUCCCCAAUACUCGGCCAUGACGACUUGAAAUAUGGUCGACAUUGGCAAUCUUCGACAGUCUCUACAGAGA
This is a small nuclear RNA of Nomascus leucogenys (northern white-cheeked gibbon), 139 nucleotides long. Its record names the gene U4. It matches the Rfam family "U4 spliceosomal RNA". From Rfam's summary of the family: U4 small nuclear RNA (U4 snRNA) is a component of the major U2-dependent spliceosome. The structure of U4 snRNA from yeast and human has been reported. The record is from Ensembl. Lineage: Eukaryota; Metazoa; Chordata; Mammalia; Primates; Hylobatidae.